RNAcentral lists this long non-coding RNA (586 nucleotides) under Rattus norvegicus (Norway rat). RNAcentral's name for it is "long non-coding RNA NONRATT002589". Lineage: Eukaryota; Metazoa; Chordata; Mammalia; Rodentia; Muridae. The record is from RNAcentral.
UCCCCCCUCCCGUGACCCUCCCACAAGAUUCCCUGCAUUUCCCUGACGUGGUGAGGGGAGGGGGCUGGCCCUCCCCUCGUGGACGGAGCGCCCCAGGGGCGCCUGGGGGCAGCUAUAGGGAAUGGGGUGCGGGGAAGGAGGGGAGCUCCCUUCUUUGGCAGCUGAACAUAGGGGGGAACCUGAGGGCGAUGCCUUUCCCCCCUUUUAUCCACAGCAGGGGAGGGGGCUAUCUAGGGGAGGAGAGGUGGCUUAAAUUCCCAAGCCCCAGAAGCAGGGAGGGGGAACGUGCGGGGAGUGUGGAGCCAUGCUGUAAGAAUGGGGGCGUAAUCUGGGAGAGAAGAAAGGGUUGGGGGAGGAGGGGGGAUCUUCGUGCAAAAUGGACAGACAGACAAAUGGUCUAAGAAUGACAGGACUGAGUGACAGCCUAGUGAGCUGGGAGCCAGCGUGCAUGCGCAGGGUCUCCUCUCCCUAGGAAAAGCAGGAGGAGGUGAGCAAAGACCUGGGUGGGUGCAGAAAAAGAGAAGAGAGGACUGGCUAAGGGUGUGCAGAGAGAGGCAAAUAUGCAAACCAAAAAAAAAAAAAAAAA